GCAGCNAUGCCGCGUGAGGGAAGANGGCCYUUGGGUUGUAAACCUCUUUYUUCGGGGAAGAAAAUGACUGUACCCGAAUAAGAANGUCCGGCUAACUUCCUGCCANCANCCNCGGUAAUACGAAGGGACCUAGCGUAGUUCGGAAUUACUGGGCUUAAAGAGUUCGUAGGUGGUUGAAAAAGUUGGUGGUGAAAUCCCCUAGCUUAACUCUGGAACUGCCAUCNAAACUUUUCANCUANAGUUUGAUAGAGGANAGCAGANUUUYUAGUGUNGAGGUGAAAUUCGUAGAUAUUAUAAAGAAUACCAAUUGCGAAGGCAGCUUUCUGGAUNAUUACUGACACUGANGAACGAAANCAUGGGUAGCGAAAAGGAUUAUAUACCCUCCUAGUCCAUGCCGUANACAAUGUGUGUUAGACGUUGGAAAUUUAUUUUCAGUGUCGCANCGAAAGCGAUAAACACACCGCCUGGGGAGUACGACCGCAAGGUUAAAACUCAAAUGAAUUGACGG
RNAcentral lists this ribosomal RNA (508 nucleotides) under uncultured bacterium. RNAcentral's name for it is "partial 16S ribosomal RNA". It matches the Rfam family "Bacterial small subunit ribosomal RNA", at positions 388 to 916 of the family's 1533-position model. The record is from RNAcentral.